Long non-coding RNA from Ipomoea nil (Japanese morning glory), 1170 nucleotides. RefSeq lists it as uncharacterized. The record is from RefSeq and is a predicted model, not a curated record. The transcript is spliced from 2 exons. Lineage: Eukaryota; Viridiplantae; Streptophyta; Magnoliopsida; Solanales; Convolvulaceae.
CCUGGUGACAAGAAGUUAGCUCCAGUUGAUUAGGGUUGUGAAUUUGUACUUGAUUUUCUGUAUUCUUAGACAUGUGUGUGUGUCAAAAGUGAAGGGAAUUGAUGAGAGAAAGGUUUUACAUGUUGCUGUGGUUGCUGUCACUGCUAGCAUAUCUAUAGGAGUAUGGAUGGCGAGACCAGAGUUGACAGCAGCCGCAACUUGAACUCUUCCUGCACCGAGAGAUUCUGCUGCCUCAGCACAUACUGUUGUUACAAGAGCUGCUGCUGAAGCAAGAACAGCACCCAUAUUGUUUCUCUGUUCUCCUGAUAUAGCAUUAUUGAAGUGAAACUCUUCUGUUUCUGCUUUGCUACUGCUGGCAAGCCCGGCAAUUGCUGCAGCAAGCUGUGUAAGAGAGAGUGCAGCAUGCACUUUUGCAGUUCUCAGUCGGAGUUUCUCUUUCUUCUCCUGAUGUGAUGAUCUGAAGAACCUAGUUAAUAAGUUGCCCUUUGACCAUUGCUUCAUUACAGAGGAAUUAUCUUCUCUAGUUGCUAGUGCUUUACUGGUGGUAUUCCGAGACAUCUCCUCGAGUUGUUCUUGCUGGUAUUCUAGGUCUGUGCUUGUCACUGGCAAGAGAUGGUUCUGCAGAGGUAGAAAAAAGAAAAGAUUGUAAGAGCAGGGGAUUGUACGUGAAUUUCCUAAUUCACUUCACAGAGUGCAAAUUGUGUACACCAAGGCUGUCGUUGAACUAUUGAAGGAAUUCGUUGGAAGAAGGGCUCCAUGUUCUACACAAGAAUUCCAUGGCGUUGGUCUGAGUUGAUGUCAUCUCUCUUGAUUGAGGGUAAGAAUGGAAUGGGUUUGCCUGUUGGCUUCUUCUCCAGCAUAUCUUCUCUGGUUCAAUGGCCUAAGAAUUGGGGCAGAAAAACAACCCGACAUGUUAGGUAAGAUUUCUGUAUGGACUCAUCAACUGUGCAUAUAUAGAGCUAUAACUUAGGAGGGCUUUAGCCCAGUGGUAGGGUAAAGCUCCAUCAUCAUUCCUCUCUCUCAUGAUGCACUAAAAAGAAAUAGUGUGAGAACUCACAGGUGAGUAGGACACUGAGUUUUGCUUAGCCAUAAUUUGAACUCUCUUCUUGUAGUUUCAAGUUUCCAAACUGCCACAGAAAUUAUAUUUAAAUCUGAAUACUAUUGAUUGAA